GAACUGGCCGCCAGGUUAGGGGAGGGGGGUGGAGUUUCUCACAUUUCAGUCGCCUUGAGGCCCCCCCAUUCUGAAUCCGGGGCUGGGGUUAGUAGCCAAGGGGACAGACAAGGCUCCACCCUCAGCCCACUUUCUCUGAGCUUUCUAGGUCUUGCUUCUCACCACUCCUGGUAGUAUUUCCACCCCAGGUUUUAACUACUAGCACUUCCAUAAAAACAGCUGAAACCACUCUUUUGGGAGAACGCGCCCGUGAGGCCUCUCACCCCAACUAAACUGGUUCCCUGCUUCGUCCACACCUCCUGGGGAUGUGAUGCACCCCCUCAUCCUUGUCAACUCAGCCCCCGCGUCUCCGAGGGGUGUUCCUGUGCUGGCUUCAAAAACCAGCUGGCCACAUGGCGGGAGGGAGAUUUUCUGGCCCCGGGAGGUCUUCUGAACCUGGGAUUUGAGGCAUGCAUGAAACGACACCCGCCACUCGAACAUCACUAGAAGACGUCUGCUCUCCGUUUUGCCAGCGAAUUCCACCACUCCAGACUGACACCGGGGAGAAGAGGCGCGAAAUGGGGAGGGGAAACGCCCUAGGCAAUUUCUCAAACUCUGCAAAUCCGCCCAGGGAGGCCCGGGUGUCUGGGUAUGGGAGAAGGGGGUCUAGGGGUCUCUGCAGAUCUGAGGGAGGGGGUAAUGACUAGUUAUUACUAGUUUAGGAAGGGAGCGGCUGCUGCACUAGCGCCCCCGCGCCGGGCCUCGGGCCCCAAAUCCCGCGAGUGGUCGCCCAGCUCGGGCCCCGCCACCCAGCGCGCGCUGCGCCGCACCCUGCCCUGGGCAAGGGGCAGCGACCGGGAACCCGGGCCUGGUCGCGGCGCCGGGAGCUCGGACACGCCCGGCGUUUUCGAUCUCGAUGCUCAAGCAGGGCCCCAUCACCGCUGCAGCGUCUUGGGACCUCCCGUCCGCAUCCCCGGGACUGGGUGUCGUUAAAGGAAACGCCUAGGAGGAGAACUAGGAGGGAGCAGUAGGUAAACGUCCGGGUUCGACCGGCUGGAUGGUGCGAGAGAGCAACAAGUCGCUUGGAAAGUGGGUAAGAGGCUCCACUGCGAGCUGCUUCCUGCCUGCGGCGGAGCGGGACGUGCGCGCAGAGAACUCAGAGACAGGAACUGAGAAGGCUAAAGAGAGACUAACUCGGUCCCUUGGGCAAGGAGAUAAAAGGAAGGUCCGGUACCCAAAAGGGACGUGCUCCAGGUGAGCGAACUGUGGCAGAGCUGAGGUUACCUAAGUAAGCGGUAGAGCUGGGAGUUCUCCAUGCCCGCCACUCUAUACAGAGUCGAGUGCUCAAUUUGCCACUG
This 1337-nucleotide long non-coding RNA is filed under the name Equus asinus (donkey). RNAcentral's name for it is "lncRNA (ENSEASG00005033970.1)". The record is from RNAcentral. Lineage: Eukaryota; Metazoa; Chordata; Mammalia; Perissodactyla; Equidae.